RNAcentral lists this ribosomal RNA (465 nucleotides) under Vreelandella stevensii. RNAcentral describes it as "partial 16S ribosomal RNA". It matches the Rfam family "Bacterial small subunit ribosomal RNA", at positions 338 to 795 of the family's 1533-position model. Lineage: Bacteria; Pseudomonadati; Pseudomonadota; Gammaproteobacteria; Oceanospirillales; Halomonadaceae. The record is from RNAcentral.
CCUACGGGGUGCAGCAGUGGGGAAUAUUGGACAAUGGGCGAAAGCCUGAUCCAGCCAUGCCGCGUGUGUGAAGAAGGCCUUCGGGUUGUAAAGCACUUUCAGUGGGGAAGAAAGCCUUGGGGCUAAUACCCUCGAGGAAGGACAUCACCCACAGAAGAAGCACCGGCUAACUCCGUGCCAGCAGCCGCGGUAAUACGGAGGAUGCGAGCGUUAAUCGGAAUUACUGGGCGUAAAGCGCGCGUAGGCGGUCUGAUAAGCCGGUUGUGAAAGCCCCGGGCUCAACCUGGGAACGGCAUCCGGAACUGUCAGGCUAGAGUGCAGGAGAGGAAGGUAGAAUUCCCGGUGUAGCGGUGAAAUGCGUAGAGAUCGGGAGGAAUACCAGUGGCGAAGGCGGCCUUCUGGACUGACACUGACGCUGAGGUGCGAAAGCGUGGGUAGCAAACAGGAUUAGAUACCCGAGUAGUC